This 246-nucleotide long non-coding RNA is filed under the name Salvia miltiorrhiza (redroot sage). Its description in RNAcentral is "long non-coding RNA (SMIL_LNC000837)". The record is from RNAcentral. Lineage: Eukaryota; Viridiplantae; Streptophyta; Magnoliopsida; Lamiales; Lamiaceae.
AAGAGCAUCAACAACGGCGGGUGCAAUGGCGGGAUCGAGCCCGGCCUAUCGCACCCGCCAGCGUUGCCGAACCCGGGAGCGAUGGAGAGGGAGCAAGCGGGCGCACCGGGUGCGAAGGAGGGGCGGUGGCAACACGCGCCCCUUUUCAAGCAAAAAAAAAACUAUAUCAAAAAUAAAAUUAAAUCCAUUGCACCCAAGUGGGUGCAAUACCAUUGCUGGAAUGGGUGCAAUAGAAGUGGGGACCAC